This 1623-nucleotide long non-coding RNA is filed under the name Homo sapiens (human). RNAcentral's name for it is "HSALNT0032626". The record is from RNAcentral. Lineage: Eukaryota; Metazoa; Chordata; Mammalia; Primates; Hominidae.
AGAUUCUGAAGAUACAAAAAUAAAUAAAACAUUCCUGCCCUCAAGACACUUACACUCUUAUGUGUAACACUGUGUGACCAUUCAUCUGGGCCUUCCUGAGACAGUCUUGGUUUACACCUGUUUUCCCAAUUUGUGACAACUGAGAUUCAGAGAUGUCCAAUCUACUCACAUAAAUAGCCUGGUUGAAGAUGGCUGAGCGUAAAACAGAAUGCAAGUCAGCUGGAGCACGUACUACUGGAGGCAGAGCCCCAUGAGAAGGGGCCAAGAACCCGCACCCAUCAAAAUCAAGAAGAAAGGCUGAACCCGGAGAGAAAAGGGAGCAACUGAUGUUGCCAUGCAGAUCCCUUGGUUGCUAUGAGAUGGUAACAUCACUCUGCCCCACCAUUGGCCAGUGCCUCCUCAGCUGCGGUGCCUCCCAGGCUGUGUGGUUCUCACGCGGGCCACUGACACAGAGCUGUUACUAUGGUGAACUUUACAAUUUCCUUUGAUUGGUGGAUUUCAGAAAUAGGCCAUCAGCGGAAUUCAUUAUAUUCAGCUAAGUAAAAAUGAAAAAUAAAUACUAUAACUUUCCCCUCAUCACUAACAUGAAGGAAACGUGACCCUUCAUGACAUAAUAAAUCGCUGUUCGGUAACUUAGGAUCCUUCAGGGGACUGAAGCGGGAUGAUCCUCCUAUGCCAAAUUUGGGUGGGAAAGAUAUUCCCUGUAGCUUUGAGUCGACUCUUCAGAGUUAAGGGCAGUGGGCCAACCAGAGUUGGAACUUCAGAGUUGGGAGGAGGUGUGGGAUGGGGCAUGCAUUGAAAUGUAAACUCUAUUGUCUCUGAAGUGAUGGGUGAUGCUGGGGGCCUGAGUGUGGAGGGCAGUUUUACAUCUCAGGACAAUGUUUUCUCAGAUGCUCUUCCAGAAAGAAAAGCCAGGAGUACUCCUGGCUGGAGGCGGCAUGCCUGAGGUCAGAGUCAAAGUAGGGUUUGUGCUGUCUGAAUCCUUUCUCCCACUCUCCCCAGCCUGGCUCAGCUUCUCAGCUUCUCAGGUGGAUUGGUGAGUCCUGGCCAAUUACGCUUCAGCUCAUCUCUACUCUCAGCAAAUAGGAAAAGGGAGUGAAGGACUGAGUUUUAACUCUUCUAAUUUCGUAACCUGACUCUCUAUAAGAAAAAGUAGGAGAAAGACUGAAGAACCCGAGAGAACAGGCCUCUGAGCCCAAGCCAAGCCAUCGCAUCCCCUGUGACUUGCCCGUAUAUAUGCCCAGAUGGCCUGAAGUAACUGAAGAAUCACAAAAGAAGUGAAUAUGCCUUGCCCCACCUUGACUGAUGACAUUCCACCACAAAAGAAGUGUAAAUGGCCGGUCCUUGCCUUAACUGAUGACAUUACCUUGUGAAAGUCCUUUUCCUGGCUCAUCCUGGCUCAAAAAGCACCCCCACUGAGCAUCUUGCGACUCCCACUCCUGCCCACUGAGCACCUUGUGACCCCCACUCCUGCCUGCCAGAGAACAAACCCCCUUUGACUGUAAUUUUCCUUUACCUACCCAAAUCCUAUAAAACGGCUCCACCCUUAUCUCCUUUUGCUGACUCUCUUUUCUGACUCAGCCCGCCUGCACCCAGGAGAUUAAAAGCUUUAUUGCUCACACA